RNAcentral lists this transfer RNA (76 nucleotides) under Erythropalum scandens. Its description in RNAcentral is "tRNA-Tyr". It matches the Rfam family "tRNA". Rfam says of the family: Transfer RNA (tRNA) molecules are approximately 80 nucleotides in length. Lineage: Eukaryota; Viridiplantae; Streptophyta; Magnoliopsida; Santalales; Erythropalaceae. The record is from RNAcentral.
GUCGCGACAGAAUGAAAGGUAGUUCGUUGGGUAUACCCGUUGCCCAAAGGUGCUGGUUCGAAUCCGGCUCGUGACA